GAAUAUCCAAAUGUCAACUCUUUUAAAAUUUCUUUCCUUUCGAGGCCCCCCUAAAUCCAUGGGAUUGGAUUGAUGAAGAUAUUAUGACAUGCUUGAUUCUUUCUUGCUUUGGAACAUUUUGAAUUAUAAUCAACCUCCUUGAUUUCCUUCCUUGUGAGGCCUCCGCCACGUGCACAUAAUCCUCUGAAAAUCUUGGGCUCAAAUCCUUGACUUGGGCUUGGAUCUCCAAGCUUUCUUAAAUUGCCACCCAUUUUUAUUACAUAUAAUAUAUAAUAAAAU
RNAcentral lists this long non-coding RNA (279 nucleotides) under Prunus persica (peach). RNAcentral describes it as "long non-coding RNA (PPER_LNC006121)". The record is from RNAcentral. Lineage: Eukaryota; Viridiplantae; Streptophyta; Magnoliopsida; Rosales; Rosaceae.